ACACCUCAACUCUCAUGAUUUCCCGUGAUGAGCUUGGAUGUUGGGGGUUUUGUUGGCUGCGGUCAGCUCCUCUCAAAUGAAUCAGCUUGCCAAUGUUUGGUGGCAUUGCGAGUGUGAUAACUACCUACGCUCGUGGUUGUCGACCAGGUAACCUCCAGCGAUGGAGGUUUGCUGGAGCGUAUAAACGUCUCUCCUCGGUGAGGACAUUUUUUCAA
This 215-nucleotide unclassified non-coding RNA is filed under the name uncultured Tomentella. Its description in RNAcentral is "sequence contains ITS2". The record is from RNAcentral. Lineage: Eukaryota; Fungi; Basidiomycota; Agaricomycetes; Thelephorales; Thelephoraceae.